This 465-nucleotide ribosomal RNA is filed under the name uncultured bacterium. Its description in RNAcentral is "partial 16S ribosomal RNA". It matches the Rfam family "Bacterial small subunit ribosomal RNA", at positions 338 to 795 of the family's 1533-position model. The record is from RNAcentral.
CCUACGGGCGGCAGCAGUGGGGAAUAUUGCGCAAUGGGCGAAAGCCUGACGCAGCGACGCCGCGUGAGGGAUGAAGGUCUUCGGAUCGGAAACCUCUGUCAGCAGGGAAGAACGGUCACUGUGCUAAUCAGCAGUGAAUUGACGGUACCUGCAAAGGAAGCACCGGCUAACUCCGUGCCAGCAGCCGCGGUAAUACGGGGGGUGCGAGCGUUAAUCGGAAUUACUGGGCGUAAAGCGAGCGUAGGCGGUAUGUCAAGUCAAGGGUGAAAUCCCCGCGCUCAACGUGGGAACUGCCUGUGAAACUGGCAAACUGGAGUGUGUGAGAGGAUAGUGGAAUUCCAGGUGUAGCAGUGAAAUCCGUAGAUAUCUGGAGGAACAUCAGUGGCGAAGGCGACUAUCUGGCACAUAACUGACGCUGAGGAGCGAAAGCGUGGGUAGCAAACAGGAUUGGAUACCCGUGUAGUC